Panicum virgatum (switchgrass) is the source of this 2647-nucleotide RNA transcript. RefSeq lists it as uncharacterized. The record is from RefSeq and is a predicted model, not a curated record. The transcript is spliced from 3 exons. NCBI's taxonomy places the organism in Eukaryota, Viridiplantae, Streptophyta, Magnoliopsida, Poales, Poaceae.
UUGAAUAAUCUGGGUAUGGAAUAAGCUAUUCCAUACCCGACCUAACUCGAGCCCGAGCCGACCCCGCGCCGAGCUCCCCCCACCCGUCCGGUUUUUCUCCUCGCCGGUUCCUGGAUGGUCACCCCCAGCUCGUAACAGAUCGUGGCCACGAUCUCGUCUUCUUGCGCCGCUUGCUCUCCCGUCUUGCCCGGCGUCGCCUGCUCUCCCGUCCUGCCCUGCGCCGCCGGCGACCGUGCCGCCCCGGCGAGCUGCACCCCUCACCGACCGACACGCACCCCCGCCCCAUCCCACGCCGCCAGCUCGUUUCCGAUUUUGCAUACCCUGAUUUUUCCCCCACAGUUGUCGGUUUCCAAUUAGAUCGAUCAUUCCGCUCCGCUCCUCCCGUCGCCAUCGACGGUUCCGUGCUCUGCGAGUUCGAUCUGUUUUUUCCAGCCGCCGUCGACCCCUAGGAGAGCUCCUUCCGAUGGCGCCGGAGUCCUGCCACCUGAUCCGCUCGGCCUGCCUUCCACUCCGCAUGAGCUCCCUCAGCACACGCGGGAGCUUCCAUCUCCGUGCCCUUGCGCUGGACCCGUGUGGCAGCAAGGCGUCGAUUGCGAGUUUCCUCACGCCCGGCGCCGGCGGCUUCCUCCUCACCUCGAGCAGUGGAACGCUUUGGAGAUCCACCGGCCCAGGUACACAAGAUCAGACCGACGUGGAGCAGCUCAGAAGAGUUUCAGAUUUUUCGGAUGAAUCGCUGCUGAUUCCCCCGCAUAGUGCAAGGUGCCAUCUACCCUCACCCUUAUUGGACAAUUUCUAUCAUAGGUGCCGAUGCUUUGUCCAGGUUGUAGUUCAAAUUAGGUUGUUGUAAACGGUAUCUGUGUGAUUCUUAUCCAACUUCCCCUUCCCUGUUCUUGUCAGUGUAUCCUAACAAAAUGUCGAUCCGCAGGGUUGGUUCUCAACCGAGCACUGGGGGUGACGCCGCACCCGCAUGCUUCCAUGAUUUUCAGUCAUAUCACUCCUGGGUACCAAUGCAGGGGCACCCUCCCUUGAGCUGCGCAAUGCAUGGAUGAGGUUCGGUAUUGGGGGCUUUACAUGCUUCGAGACGUAGACAAGGAUGCUGAAUGCGCGCCUGCAGCCAGUAGACAAGGAUGCGGUCACAGGUACCCAUGUAUUUCAGUGUUGCUGCUCCUGCUUUAGCUGGAGACGAUGGCCACGAGCUCAACUAGUUAAUGGGAGGACAUCAUGCGCCUGUCUCUUCUCUAAUCGUGCCAACUGAUGUUUUAGCUAAUACUAAAAUUUUCAUGAGGCAACCUGUUCAACUGACACUGAUUAGGGUUUACCAAUGUUGGCAUACUAUCAAAUCAUGUGUAUACCAAUGUUAGAUCAUUGAUUUACCCAUUGUCGACAGCAUCUACUUGUGAAUCUUUAUCCUAAUGAACCAUGCCAUGAGAGAAGAGGCUGUGAGAAAAAUAACUAUAGAAGAUUGUAUAAAUAGAGUCAAUGAAAAAUAAACUUGUGCUCUCUUUAUGAACGCAAUCAUGUACCAACCUUUAGCAAAAUCUACUCAAUUUUUUGAUUAAAUUUACAUGAAUCGACUGUCUGUGUUGCUAGCCUGACCUUGAACGGUUGCUUUUCAGCUGGCAGCACACUCGCUCAGUCUGAAAUUCUGCAUCACCUUUCUAAUUUACCUGCACCUCUACUUGAUUUGACUCCACUGAAAAAAAUUCUAAGCACACCAUUUGAGAUCUGGUUGGUCUAUAUAUUGCUUUAUGAUGUAAUUACACACAAUUUGCUGCUGUUUGACUCCUGAUUCCUGAACCAAGCAAUUUAUUACCAAUCAUGGUUUUCCACUUUUCCUGUAGAGUGUUGGCUGUUGAGUACCUGUUUAGUGGCUUCAGGCCAAUGUUAUUGAUUCUAUAAUGGAGAUUAAUCAUUUUUGAUACCGUCACACUAGCCCAUGCAGCACACAUUUAACUGAACAAUCAUAGCUCUGCCUAAUUUAACAAUAGUAUACUGACAAAUUUAUACGCAAUGCACUAUUUAAUAGUUACUAAUUAACUAAUCAUGUAAAUGGUAAACAAACACACCUUUGUUCUGUACUAACACUAUAGCUGAGGAUCUUUGUUUCUGCAGAUGUGCAGAGGAAGGAGAUGGAUGUGGAAGGCCACCAGGGAGGCUACCAUCAAUAAUUGCAACGACACAACUUACAUGUUUCUUUUAUUUCAUAUCAUCAGCUCUUGAAAACAUUUUUUAUUUGAAUGUGUCCGGGAACUUCUAUAGUUUGAUGUGCUUAGUCCGGCCCCUCACAUAUCGCAAAUCUGCUGCAUAGUUGCAAAGGCCGGCUGCAAGGACUGCUUUGCUGGAGUUGCUUUGCCGGAGAUCGGGGCCUGGAGAUGUUUGCUUGCCAAAAAUCUCACGCACAGGAGUGCUGUAACUGGAGGAGUUCCUUGCUUGCCGGAGAUGGCGGGUGGAUGGUUAAAUUUAGAUUAGAGGCAUAGAGCGGGUGUACUUCGUACACCAAAUAUCAAUUUGUCAAUCAUAUACGAAUGAAAACUGUAGGCUCUGGAUCAUAAAUAAAUGCUGUAUUUUGUUUUAUGUGGAGGCCUAUGGUGAAAUCAUGAAUCCUAAGGUUUUUAAUAAGAGACUUGCAUUUUAUUAUGACACCAAA